UGGGGAAUAUUGGACAAUGGGCGAAAGCCUGAUCCAGCCAUGCCGCGUGAGUGAAGAAGGCCUUAGGGUUGUAAAGCUCUUUCACCGGUGAAGAUGAUGACGGUAGCCGGAGAAGAAGCCCCGGCUAACUCCGUGCCAGCAGCCGCGGUAAUACGGAGGGGGCUAGCGUUGUUCGGAUUUACUGGGCGUAAAGCGCGCGUAGGCGGUUGACCAAGUCAGGGGUGAAAGGCCUGGGCUCAACCUAGGAACUGCCUUUGAAACUGGUCGGCUUGAGUCCGGGAGAGGGUGGCGGAAUUCCCAGUGUAGAGGUGAAAUUCGUAGAUAUUGGGAAGAACACCGGUGGCGAAGGCGGCCACCUGGCCCGGUACUGACGCUGAGGUGCGAAAGCGUGGGGAGCAAACAGGAUUAGAUACCCCCGUAGUCC
This 424-nucleotide ribosomal RNA is filed under the name uncultured prokaryote. Its description in RNAcentral is "bacterial SSU rRNA". It matches the Rfam family "Bacterial small subunit ribosomal RNA", at positions 355 to 796 of the family's 1533-position model. The record is from RNAcentral.